UGUAUACAUCAACACUCCCCCACACGUGCAGGUCCAGAUCCCAUGGUCCUUGCACAUGGAGCUCACACAGCAUUUCCUUCGCACAGCACUGAGGGAGAAGAAAUGUUAGAAAAACUCUUCCGAUGCACUUCCCAAGAGUCGAACACUAGACCUCCCCUACCCUAAUACCAUGUUCGCUACCGUUUCACCUAAAAGCUCUAACUGUUAGGGAAGGGCAGCAUCAAUGUAUACAUCAACAAAGGGAAGCAAAAUAAAAACACAUGAAU
Telopea speciosissima is the source of this 266-nucleotide long non-coding RNA. RefSeq lists it as uncharacterized. The record is from RefSeq and is a predicted model, not a curated record. The transcript is spliced from 4 exons. NCBI's taxonomy places the organism in Eukaryota, Viridiplantae, Streptophyta, Magnoliopsida, Proteales, Proteaceae.